AGUCGAGGGGUAUGGUUCUUCGGAACCAGAGACCGGCGCACGGGUGCGUAACGCGUAUGCAAUCUGCCUUUCACAGAGGGAUAGCCCAGAGAAAUUUGGAUUAAUACCUCAUAGUAUAGCGACAUCGCAUGAUGAUGCUAUUAAAGUCACAACGGUGAAAGAUGAGCAUGCGUCCCAUUAGCUAGUUGGUAAGGUAACGGCUUACCAAGGCAACGAUGGGUAGGGGUCCUGAGAGGGAGAUCCCCCACACUGGUACUGAGACACGGACCAGACUCCUACGGGAGGCAGCAGUGAGGAAUAUUGGUCAAUGGGCGCAAGCCUGAACCAGCCAUGCCGCGUGCAGGAUGACGGUCCUAUGGAUUGUAAACUGCUUUUGCACAGGAAGAAACACUGAUUCGUGAAUCAGCUUGACGGUACUGUGAGAAUAAGGAUCGGCUAACUCCGUGCCAGCAGCCGCGGUAAUACGGAGGAUCCAAGCGUUAUCCGGAAUCAUUGGGUUUAAAGGGUCCGUAGGCGGUCUGGUAAGUCAGUGGUGAAAGCCCAUCGCUCAACGGUGGAACGGCCAUUGAUACUGCUGGACUUGAAUUAUUAGGAAGUAACUAGAAUAUGUAGUGUAGCGGUGAAAUGCUUAGAGAUUACAUGGAAUACCAAUUGCGAAGGCAGGUUACUACUAAUGGAUUGACGCUGAUGGACGAAAGCGUGGGUAGCGAACAGGAUUAGAUACCCUGGUAGUCCACGCCGUAAACGAUGGAUACUAGCUGUUGGAAGCAAUUUCAGUGGCUAAGCGAAAGUGAUAAGUAUCCCACCUGG
This 810-nucleotide ribosomal RNA is filed under the name uncultured bacterium. RNAcentral describes it as "bacterial SSU rRNA". It matches the Rfam family "Bacterial small subunit ribosomal RNA", at positions 60 to 876 of the family's 1533-position model. The record is from RNAcentral.